Molecule: ribosomal RNA, 472 nt
Filed under: uncultured bacterium
Lineage: Bacteria
Description: SSU rRNA
Rfam family: Bacterial small subunit ribosomal RNA
Source: RNAcentral
AGGAUGAACGCUGGCGGCGUGCCUAACACAUGCAAGUCGAACGUCCUGUCUCGCAAGAGGCAGGGAGUGGCGGACGGGUGAGUACCACGUGGGUCAUCUACCGUGAGGUGAGGAAUACCGGCGAGAAAUCGCCGACAAGACCGCAUAGGCUCGAUGCAAGUCGAGCAAAGCUCUUUCGAGAGAGGGAGCGCCACACGAGGAGCCUGCGCCCGAUUAGCUAGCUGGUGGAGUAACGGUUCACCAGGGCGACGAUCGGUAGCUGGUCUGAGAGGACGAUCAGCCACACUGGGAUUGAGAACGGCCCAGACUCCUACGGGGGGCAGCAGUGAGGAAUUUCGUCAAUGGGGGCAACCCUGAACGAGCAACGCCGCGUGCAGGAAGAAGGUUUUCGGAUCGUAAACUGACUUUUCUCGGGGAAGAGAACGGACGGUACCCGAGGAAUCAGCCCGGCUAACUACGUGCCAGCAGCCGC